RNAcentral lists this ribosomal RNA (464 nucleotides) under uncultured bacterium. RNAcentral's name for it is "partial 16S ribosomal RNA". It matches the Rfam family "Bacterial small subunit ribosomal RNA", at positions 28 to 523 of the family's 1533-position model. The record is from RNAcentral.
AACGAACGCUGGCGGCAGGCUUAACACAUGCAAGUCGAGCGCGCCCUUCGGGGUGAGCGGCGGACGGGUGAGUAACACGUGGGUGACCUGCCCCUCACUCUGGGAUAAGCCUGGGAAACUGGGUCUAAUACCGGAUAUGACUUCCUAUCGCAUGGGGGGUUGUGGAAAGUUUUUCGGUGGGGGAUGGGCCCGCGGCCUAUCAGCUUGUUGGUGGGGUGAUGGCCUACCAAGGCGACGACGGGUAGCCGGCCUGAGAGGGCGACCGGCCACACUGGGACUGAGACACGGCCCAGACUCCUACGGGAGGCAGCAGUGAGGAAUUUUCCGCAAUGGGCGCAAGCCUGACGGAGCAAUGCCGCGUGAAGGAAGAAGGCCCUCGGGUUGUAAACUUCUUUUGCUUAGGAAGAUUAUGACGGUACUAAGCGAAUAAGGACCUGCUAACUACGUGCCAGCCGCCGCGGUAA